Long non-coding RNA from Cyprinus carpio (common carp), 639 nucleotides. RefSeq lists it as uncharacterized. The record is from RefSeq and is a predicted model, not a curated record. Lineage: Eukaryota; Metazoa; Chordata; Actinopteri; Cypriniformes; Cyprinidae. The transcript has 5 exons.
UAAUAUUCUUUAUUCUGUUUAAAUUACUACAGGCAUGAGACAGAAAUUCCUCUUUUUAAGGGAAAGGUGUUUUCCAAUUCAGUUCCUCGUAGUGAUGACUAAAUCUGACUGGACCGGUUUAAUCUUUUGUCAUUGCAACAUUCACUGUACCUCACUUAGUUCUGUGUUUAUGUAGUAAAAGGAUGAGUAAUUUUUCGACUUAUAUAAGAACCUGUUAGGACUUCCAUUCCAUUCGUUCUUUCAGUUGGAUGGAAACAGUCAUUGAGGAGAGACUCUAGAUCCCGGAGGGAACAGAGACGGGUUGACUGAACGCAUUAGAAGAACCAUGUUUCACAUUCAAGGGCAACUACGUAGUUGGAAACUCCUGCUGUGUAUUUUGUUAUCAUUGACAGUAGACUUUGGGUCAGGGUUAUGCAGAAGAAGUGAUUGUUCUACAAAUGAAUACUGGAGCGACGGGCUCUGCUGUGACAAAUGUGCUCCAGGGUAUAAGUUGGUGAGAGAAUGCUCUAGUGUCUUGUCAUCUCAAUGUGAGGAAUGUGAGAAUGGGACAUACCUAGACAAGAUGAACUAUUUCCCAAACUGCUUCAGAUGCGAGAAAUGCACCAAGAGACAUGCGGUGGUGAUUUCACCAUGUACACC